UACAUAGGUGGCAAGCGUUAUCCGGAUUCACUGGGUGUAAAGGGAGCGUAGACGGCGACGCAAGUCUGGAGUGAAAGCCCGGGGCCCAACCCCGGGACUGCUCUGGAAACUGCGGCGCUGGAGUACGGGAGGGGCAGGCGGAAUUCCUGGUGUAGCGGUGAAAUGCGUAGAUAUCAGGAGGAACACCGGCGGCGAAGGCGGCCUGCUGGACCGUGACUGACGUUGAGGCUCGAGAGCGUGGGGAGCAAACAGG
Molecule: ribosomal RNA, 253 nt
Filed under: uncultured bacterium
Lineage: Bacteria
Description: partial 16S ribosomal RNA
Rfam family: Bacterial small subunit ribosomal RNA
Source: RNAcentral